This 25897-nucleotide long non-coding RNA is filed under the name Vitis vinifera (wine grape). RNAcentral's name for it is "long non-coding RNA (VVIN_LNC000377)". Lineage: Eukaryota; Viridiplantae; Streptophyta; Magnoliopsida; Vitales; Vitaceae. The record is from RNAcentral.
CUCAUUCCUUCUCACCACCCUAUUCUUCACCUCCAGCUAUGCAGCAACCUUCAACAUCCAAAACCGUUGCUCCUACACAGUUUGGGCGGCGGCAAUCCCAGGCGGGGGCAUGCGGCUUGGCUCAGGCCAAUCCUGGAGCCUCGAUGUGAAGGCCGCCACCACCGGAAGCCGUGUUUGGGGCCGUACCGACUGCAGCUUCGAUGCGUCAGGGAAUGGGAAGUGUGAGACCGGGGACUGUGGUGGCCGCCUCCAAUGCAAGGCCUAUGGUACACCCCCUAACACCUUAGCCGAAUUCGCACUUAACCAAUACAGCAACUUGGACUUCUUUGAUAUAUCUUUGGUUGAUGGAUUUAAUGUGCCUAUAGCCUUUAAUCCUACUUCCAAUGGGUGCACCCGUGGCAUCAGUUGCACCGCCGACAUCGUGGGAGAGUGCCCCGCUGCGCUAAAGACUACCGGUGGUUGCAACAACCCAUGCACCGUUUUCAAGACCGAUGAAUAUUGUUGCAAUUCUGGGAGCUGUAAUGCUACAGAUUUCUCAAGGUUUUUCAAGACUAGGUGCCCUGAUGCUUAUAGCUACCCUAAGGACGAUCAGACAAGCACCUUCACAUGCCCUGGCGGUACCAAUUAUGAAGUUAUCUUCUGCCCAUCAGCAGUGCCACAAACAUGUGUUUUUAUUAUAAAUUAAUUUGUGGUAAAAAAAACAUUUUGUGUUACAAGAUUUUUUUUCCACAAAAAAAUAUUUCCGACCAGUUUGUUGCUACAAAUUCGUAAACAAUUAUUUUUAAUCACAAAAUUUAAUUUUAUAAUAAAAUAAAUAAUUUUUUCAUAAAAUAAAUUUUAUAACAAAAUAUCAAUAUUCACCAUUAAAUAAAAUUUAUGAUAAAAUGUCAUUUUUCACCGUAAAAUAAAAUUUGUGACAACACAUCGUUUUUCAUGAAAAUAAUUACGAUAAUAUGCGACUUUUUUGUUAUAAAAAAAUUCAUGAUAAAAAAUUACCCUUCUACCAAAAAACAUUAAUUGUAACGGUCCAAACCACUGGUCUUGACAAGGAAAUAUGACAUACAGUCAAGGAGGGUUUGCUUAAAAGUCAUUAUCCUACUUGGAAACUACCUCCCUUAUUGGGGUACAUGGCAUUUUUUUAAUAAUAUUUGACUCACUUUUCCGGGAAACCUAGUUGUAGAAGUCCAAACAGGUUGCUUUUCAGGGGAAUUCACGGCAUAAAUAGAAAAGAAAGUUGCCAGAAAUGCCCUAACUGAUUAAAAUCAUUACCUUUAAUUGCAGAGAAUUAUGUCUAUCAAUUAAAUAAAUUAUAAAUAUAUGUUUGAAUUGAUUUUUAAGAAAUUGAAUGGUUUUUUAAGUUCAAUAAGAAUUUUAAUAUUGAUUUAACUAAUUUUAUUUAAAAAGCUUAUGAUUUAAAAAAUAGUUUUAUAUGAUUUAGAUAAGAAAUUAUUUAAUAUUUAAUAUAAGUUUUAUAAUACUAAUAUUAUGUAUUAAAAAUUAUGAUUUUGGUUGGACUCUCAACAUUUAGUUAAAUCUAAAAGUAGAAAACUAUUUCAAACAAAGUCAUGUUUUCUAUUUCAUUAUUAAUUAAUAUAUAUUUUUUUUAAUUCGGAUGUGAAAAGGUGUUUCAAAGUUUAAGAUUGUCUAAUAUUUUAAAUCAAAAUCUCAAUACUUAAAUUAAAGAAAAAUUUAGAUCGUAUUUAUUUGUUUAAUUGAAUAGAAAAAAUUAAAAUAUUUAAUUUUUUUAAUUUUAAUUAAAAGUAAUCUAUUUAUAUUAAUCAAUAUAACGAAAUCGAAUAUAUUGAUAAUAAAUUUACUUUAAAUAUCUUAAUUGAUAUUAAUAUAUUACUUGAACUGAAAAAACUAAAAAGCAAAAAAUAAACUCCACACUUAAAAAGAUUCUGGGCCAUGGAUACAGAAGCCCAAAAGAUUUAUUGAUGGGGGCAGUGGGCCUGGCCUGCCGUGUGCAGCUGCAUUUGUUUGACUUGUCCUCAAGCCUAGUCAACGUCUCCGUUCAAUGAAGCUGAUGUAUCGAAAAAUCCCAAAAAGCCUCAUUUUUCCCGCCAAACGCGUAAACCCCAAAAUGAGUUUCUUCUGCAACUGCAGCAAUCUCUCUACUUCCUUCUUCCUCCUCAUCUUCAUCAAUGCAACCAUUUUCGAAAUCCGAAACAGCUGCCCCUAUACCGUCUGGGCAGCCGCCUUACCCGGCGGCGGAAGGUAACUCGACCAAGGCCAGACCCGGAACCUUUCAGUGAGCUCCAACACAACCCAAGGCCACAUCUGGGGCAGAACCAAGUGCAGUUUCGAUGAAGCCGGAAGGGGGAACUGCGAGUCCGGUGGAUGUGGAGGCCUCCUUGAAUGCCAAGAAUAUGGUUCACCGCCCAACACCAUUGCCGAGUACGCCAUAAACCAAUUCAACAAAACUGAUUUCUUCGAUAUUUCUCUGGUGGUUGGAUUCAACCUUCCAAUGGAGUUUAGCCCAACUUCUGAUGGGUGCAAACGUGGGGUCAAGCGUACGUGCGACAUUAACGGGCCGUGCCCAAACGAGUUGAGGGACCCGGGUGGGUGUAACAACCCAUGUACCGUUUUCAACAAUACUCAGUACUGUUGCAAUACCGGGAGCUGUUAGCCUACACCUUCAUGUUUUUCAAGGCUAGCUGCCCAGAUGUAUACAGUUACCCUUUGGGAGAUGAUUCAAUCGGUACGUUUACCUGCGCCGCAUGCACUAACUAUCGUAUAGUCUUCUCCGAGUUUUGGGGUAGCCCAAAGUUUAAACCUUUUUGCAAAACUUACAAUCAAACUCGUCCUUUUUAUUAUCACCUAGAGUCAUAUUAUGUUUUUUUUUUCAAAAUUUAAGUUGAAAAUUUUAUUUUUGAAUUGAAGCCAUAAUUAAUAACCAAGACUUCAUUUUGAACGGAAACCUCAUUUGAUAAGUGAGACUUAGUUUUUUAAUUAAAACCUCAUUUUGACAAUUAAAACUUCAUUUAUUAAACUAAAACCUUAAUUGUGACUUUAGUUAUUUUUUUUACUUUAAAAUUUAAUUAAAAAUAUUAAAUUUCAAAUUAUUAUUGAAAUUAAAAAUAUUUACUUUAAUAAUAAAAAAUUAUAUAUUUAAGUUUAAGGAUUCAACAUUAUUCUAAUAAAGAUAAAUUGAUAAAUAAAAUAAAUAAAUGAAUAAUUUUAUUUAUCAAUAAAUUAAUAAUUUUAAAAUAAUAAAGUUAUAUAAUAUAUAAAUAAAAUAUAAAAUUAUAUAAUUUAUUAAUUUAAGUUAUAUUACAAAUACUAUAUGUUACCGGGCAACUAAAAAGGAAGAAAGUUAUGUAUAGGUUCUCUCUUUGUAAAGACACGUAAGAUUAUAUAAUUUUCUUUUUUACUAUAUGAAUAUUUAGUAAACAAUUUUUGUGACAUAGAUGAAACUACUAAAACUUAUAUUUUGUAGUAAACAUUUUUUAAUUAAUUUUAUUAGCUAAUUUUAAAAUGUAUCUUCAAGGCAUAUAUGUUGUGGGUAUAAAUAAUAAUUUUUUUUUAAUGAAAAAUUAUAAACAUAUACUUUAAAAUAAUAAUAAAAUCUAUAUAUAAAAGCUUAAGAAUAUACUAUUAUUUUAAUAAAGAUAAAUUUGUGAAAAUACAAAUAAAUUAAUAUCUUAAAAAUAAAACAAAUUAAAUAUCUUAAAUUAAUAAAUUAUAUAAUUUUAUAUCUUAUUAUAUUUAUCAAUUUAUCUUUAAACCUAAGUCCUAAGUCCAAGGUUUAAAUAUUUUAUUAUAUUUAUUAAUUUAUCUUUAUUGAAGUAAUACUAGAUUUUUAAGUUUAAACAUAUAAUUAAUUUAUUAUUAAAGUAUAUAUUUUUAAUUUCAACAAUAAUUUAUAAUUUAAUAUUUUAAUUAAAUUUUAAAGUAAAAAAAUAAUUAAUUGAAGCUUCAAUUGAAAAUUAAGACUUUAAUAAAAAAAUGAAGUCUCAAUUAUCAAUUGUGAAUUCAAUUUAAAAAUGAGGUAUGAUUUGACAAUUAAGGUUUCAGUUUAUAAAUGAAACCUUAAUUGUCAAUUGUGGUUUUAGUUCAAAAAUAAACCCUCAAUUGAUAAUUGAGGUUUUACUUAAAUUUUAAAAUAUAUAUAUAUUAUGAUACGACUCUUAUGUGACAAUAAAGGACUAGUUUGAACAUAAAUUUUAUAAAAAUGUUAAAUCUUACAUUUCUUUUUAUACAAGCUUAUUUAUUUUUGUUUCUUAAAAAAAAAAAAAUUAUCAGCUUCCCUUGAUAAGAUUUGAGGAAAAACAAAGAUGAGGUAGGAUUGGCUCUUCCAUGCCUCUAAGUCGAGCACCAUCUUUUAGAUUUUAACAAAGCUUAUUGCUAAAAUAUUUUCAUUUAGGGUCAUUAACUUUAACUUAGGGUUCAUCGAGGAACUUUUUCAGAAAUAAUUCUUAAAAAGUAAUUCUCAAGAAUAACUUUUAAAAAUAAUAUUUUAAUAUUUUUAAAAUAAAAAGUUUUGAAGAGCUUAGAAUAUUGUCAAUUUUUUUUUAUAUUUUUAAAUAUUUCUUAAAAAUAAUUCCUAUUUAUAAUACCUUAUUUUAAGACAUUCUUCGUGUUUAUUCAAUAAUUCCUAAAAAGUAAUUAAAAUAUAAUAUAUGUAAAAAAAAUCACUUUUCAUAGUUUUAGUUUUAAAUUUAUAAUUAACAAUCGAAUGUGUUUUUAUACUUUUUUUAUUCUAAAAACCAAAAAGAUAAAUCCUUAAUAGAAAUUUUCAAACAUUGUUUUAGUGUCCCACCCCAAGUCCACCUUCGCUCUAUAUAAACUCCUAGCCAUUUCCUCACGGACCACCCCAAACCAUAAAGCCCAUCUUCCUGAAAAAAUGGGCCUCUUCAAAACCCCUUUAAUUUCCUCAUUCCUUCUCACCACCCUAUUCUUCGCCUCCUGCCACGCAGCCACGCUGAUCAACAUCCAAAACCAUUGCUCCUACACAGUUUGGGCGGCGGCGGUACCAGGUGGGGGCAGGCAGCUUGGUCCGGGCCAAUCCUGGAGCCUCGAUGCGAACCCUGGCACAGCCCGUGUGUGGGCACGUACCAACUGCACCUUUGAUGGGUCAGGGAACGGGACGUGUGAGACCCGAGAUUGUGGUGGCCGCCUCCAAUGCCAAGCCUAUGGUACACCCCCUAACACCUUGGCCGAAUUCGCACUUAACCAAUUCAACAACAUGGACUUCUUCGAUAUAUCUUUGGUUGAUGGAUUUAAUGUGCCCAUGGCUCUUAAUUCUACUUCCAAUGGGUGCACCCGUGGCAUCCAAUGCAGCGCCGACAUAGUCGGACAGUGCCCUGAUGAGCUCCGAGCUCCCGGUGGUUGCAACAAUCCAUGCACUGUUUUCAGGACCGAUGAAUAUUGUUGUUAUUCUGGGAACUGUGGCCCUACAACUUACUCCAAGUUUUUCAAGGAUAGGUGUCCGGUGGCUUAUAGCAACCCUAAUGAUGAUCAAACAAGCACCUUUACAUGCCCUGGUGGUACUAACUAUGAUGUUAUCUUCUGCCCAUGAUGCCUCUACUAGUCCUGUUAGACGAUUUGGUACCAUCUUGGGAUCCAAAUGUCUAGAAGAAUAAAUUUGAGCACAUGUCCAUGUCCAUAGUCAUGUAAUAAGAUUUCUACCAUCAUAGAAAUCGAAUGAUUUUCAGAGGGGUUAGAAGCUUUGAAUAAUGUUUAAAUGUGCUUUACUUAUAAAAGUUUAGAACUAAUUCUUCAUAAAAAUAAUUUUGUCCAAGUGUUAUUGUUUAAGAGUUUAUUUGAUAUUGAAUUAUGAAAGUAUUUUGAAUUAUUUUAACAUUUAAAAAAUAAUUUUUCUUUAAAUAUUAAAAAAUUUAAAAAUGCUUCUUAUAAUUAUUAUCAAAUAAACUCUAAAUACUAUAUAUUAAAAACAUAAUUACUAGAAUGACCUCUAAAUGAAUUCAUAUUUUAAGUACACCGAGAAUGAUAGAAUUCAGUAAUGGUGUUUUAAAUUAAAUUGGUAAAUAUUUUGGGAUUUUCCAUUUGAAUAAUUUUUAGAAGUGAAUAAAUUAUUUUUCAGCUCUAACAUAAACAAAUCCUGUUAUUGUGGUGUGGAAAAACCUUUGCUCAAGAGUCAAGAGCGGUGGUGGAGGCUUGAGUUACGUACCCAAGUUGAAUUUUUGUAAAAGGAUGUGGAGGAGUAGAGUACAAGGAAAAUUGAUUUGCGGACAAGACCAGUUAGUUAGUGAAGCUUGAUUAAAGUCGAAGUUUUGGUGUUUUCUCCCAAGACUUCCUUUGUAGUGGUCCAAAAAAUUGGUAAGGAAAUAUGACAGACAUCGAAAGAGGAUUUGGCUAAAAGUCAAUAACUAUUUGGAGCUAUGUUCCCUUCUCGGGGCGAUGGCGUUUGCUAGUAAUCUUUGACUCGCUCUUCCCCGUAGCUUCCAUAGCAGUCCAAACCGGUUGCUUGUUCAAGGAAAACACCGUAUAAAUAAGAGGGAAGUGGCUAAAAGUCUAACUAAUUAAAAUCGUAGUCAUUUAUUGUGUGGAAUAGCGGGACACAUACGUAUUGAAGUUGAACUUGUCCAUCAAUUAAAUCUAAUACAAUUUUCUUUUUCAAUCCAACUAUUACGUAAUAAAUUUUAAAUUUCAAAUAUAUUUGCUUUUAAAAUUUACUCAAACCAAUUUAAUAACUUACAAAUAACUAAUUCAAUAACUUGGACUUCUUUAAUAUAGUAUUGUCCAAGCAUAUAUUUGAUAUGUCUUUAAUUUAUUUUUAAUUGUGCUUCUAAGCUACGUUUGGUUCUCGAAAAAUUUGAGAGAAAAUUUAAAAGAAAAAAAUUACAGAUGAAAAAAAAUAAAAAAUAGUUUAAAUAUAAUAAAUUAUAUUUGAUUUGAUUUUCUAUUUUUUUUUAUAGUGAAACAAAAUAUGAGAAAACCAUUUUUAUUAAUAUUUUUUUUCUUUAGAACACUUUCCAACAUAACUUACCAUUUAUUUUUUUGGUCAUGCAAAAGUUGAUGUAAAAAAUAUAGUUAGUCUCUCUUAUAUCAUUCAUUUGAAAUUGAGUAGAUUAAUGGUGUUUGUUUUUUUGGUUUUUUACUUAAAGCAAUUUAGUUUUAGAAUUUAGGUUGUUUGUUUUUCUACUUUUUCAUGACUUAUUAUAAACUUUUUACUAAAUAGAAAAAGUCAAAAUAUGUAGCUUUUUCUAAGUAGGAAAAAUAACAUAUUGAUUUUUUUUACUUUUUAAUACUUAAUAGAAAUAAAAUACUACAAAAACAAAUAACCUAAUAUUUAACACUAUUAAGCAUUAAGGUUCUAUUUAGAAUUAAGUAAAAAAACAAACAUCAUCUUCACACUAAGUAAUAACCCUAUAUUAGUCCUAAUAAGUAAUAAAAUUCCUCUACUAAUACAUGGUAUGGAUAAAAUAUUUACUAAAUUAACAACAUGAAUGUAAGUAAUUUAGAUAUUAGUAGGAUAUAUUUUUGUCUUAAUUAUUUAAAAAUAUAAACAUAUUUAUAUUAGGUUCUUGCUUUUUAUAAAUAUUAAUUCAACAUUUUUAGUAAUUUUUUUUUUAAAUUUAAUAAUUACAUAACCAAAAGUAAAAAAAAAAAAAAAUCAUUUUAUGAUGAUUUUUUGUCAAUUUUCAAUGAUUUCUUUCUAGUUCUUUGUUUUCAGUAGGUUAUUGAGUUAAUAAAGAAAUAAUGAAAUAUAAUGUGAUUGGGUUUUGGGUAUUUUUUUUUUUUAUAAUUUGUUUAAAAAAAAUUAGAUAAUAAAAAUAUCAUAUAUAUAUAUUUUGUUAUAAAAUUUUUAAAAGGAAAAAAAUUGUUGCUAAAUAUGAUUUUCAAAAACAUUUAUCACAAUUUUAAUUCAAAAAAUUGAAAAAUAAAAGUGUAAUGGAAGAUACUACUAAUGUAGUACAAGCAAUAAAUAUUUUUACCCUUAGUUGUGAAAAAUAUAGAGGAAAGAAAUUUUAUGAUGUCUGUUUCUAGAAGGUUGUAGGAAACCUGUUUGCCACGCCAGCCUAUUAAUAUUUUCUUCUUCGAAAAUUAAGAAAUUAUGGCAUUUUUUUAAAAAAAAAUUAUGCUUAAAAAUAGUUUUUUAUUUAGAAUAUAAAACUUAAAUUUAAAGAAAUUGAGAAUAUAUUCUAAAACUGAAUUAUCUUUUAGAAUAAAUUUAAGGGUUUUUUUUUAUUAUGUUCUAUUAAAUAAUAAUUAUUAAAAAUAUGAAAAUUAUUUUUUUUUAAAAAUAUAUUAUAUAUGUGUAUGUCAACUUUAAGAAAAAUAAAUAAAUAAAUAAAUAUAUAUAUAUAUAUAUAUAUAUAUAUUUUAUGUCUGAGAUUUUAAACAAAAUUUUAUUUAUAAAAAUAAUUAAAAAUUAUGUUUUGCCUAACAUGCCUAUGUUCUAGUCGUCUACGGAGUUGGUUCGGGAUGGCAGUGGAAAAUAUACUUUAGAUAUUUUCUCUUCUCUAUAGUCAGAUGCUUCUGCGUAUUUUAAAUGGUAAAGACCAAAACUCAAUUAUGAUAUUAUCGAAAAUAGACCCAGUCCAAAGUGGUCAUUCAUACUGGCAUAGUUCCAGGAAGGUGAUCAACAUCAGGGCUGUCUCAUUCAAGAAAGGAAAUUUGCACCCACGUUUUCUAGAUACAUUCCUACUGUUCUGAUGAUUCGGUAUGCACGAAUUUAUGCAAAGGUUAGGCAGAUUUCUGAAAAUAAUAAAAAUGGUAAUGAAGUGGACCCUUCUCUCUGUAAAAUAUUUUAAAUAAAAAAUACUUAUUUUUCUAAAAAUAAGUAUUUUCAAUAUGUAAUAUAUGUUUUAAAAAAAAAAAUUAAUUUACAAGCUUAUUUAUUUUUAUUUCUUAAAAAUAUUAUCGGCUUUUGUUGAUAAGAUUUGAGGAAAGAAAAAGGGCCACCUCACAUCGACUCUUCCAUGCCCGCAGGCCCCAACGAAGUCGACCACAAAGAUGACGCUAUCUUUUGGAAUUUUUACAGGGAGGUUUUUUCACAUACACACCAACCCAAGCCCACCUUCACCCUAUAAAAACCCCCACCCGGUUCCUCACAGAUCACCCCACUCCAACCAUCAAGCCUAUAUAUCUUCCGAAACUCAACAAUGGGCCUCUGCAAAAUCCUCUCCAUUUCCUCAUUCCUUCUCACCACCCUAUUCUUCACCUCCAGCUAUGCAGCUACGUUCAACAUCCAAAACCAUUGCUCCUACACGGUUUGGGCUGCGGCAGUCCCAGGCGGGGGCAUGCAGCUUGGCUCAGGCCAAUCCUGGAGCCUCAAUGUGAAUGCCGGCACCACUGGAGGCCGUGUUUGGGCCCGUACCAACUGCAACUUCGAUGCGUCAGGGAAUGGGAAGUGUGAGACCGGGGACUGUGGUGGCCUCCUCCAAUGCACGGCCUAUGGUACACCCCCUAACACCUUAGCCGAAUUCGCACUUAACCAAUACAGCAACUUGGACUUCUUUGAUAUAUCUUUGGUUGAUGGAUUUAAUGUUGCUAUGGCCUUUAAUCCUACUUCCAAUGGGUGCACCCGUGGCAUCAGUUGCACCGCCGACAUCGUGGGAGAGUGCCCCGCUGCGCUAAAGACUACCGGUGGUUGCAACAACCCAUGCACCGUUUUCAAGACCGAUGAAUAUUGUUGCAAUUCUGGGAGCUGUAAUGCUACAACUUACUCCGAGUUUUUCAAGACUAGGUGCCCUGAUGCUUAUAGCUACCCUAAGGACGAUCAGACAAGCACCUUCACAUGCCCUUCCGGGACCAAUUAUGAAGUUAUCUUCUGCCCAUAAAUCUAUUAUUUAAAUCAUAUGCUAGUAUGCCUCUACUGGUCUCAACUAUUAGGAGGCAAUGGUAUCCACCUUGGGUUCCAAAAGCCUAGAGGAAUAAAGUUGAGCCCAUAUUCGUGGUCAUGUAUUAAGAUUUCUACACUAGUCGAAGCAAUGGAUGCCUUUUUUUAUAUAGAUAUAUGCUAUCUUCUUCUUCUAAUCUCUGUGGUCCCUUCCAAGUAACAUUUCAUAUAGAUAUAUGAAUUUUAAUGAUUAUUCUUCUUCAGAAUUCUUUUUUUUUUUUUUUUUGAAAAUGAAAUUAAGCUUAACAUGAACAAAAUUCUGCUAUCAUGGUACGGAGAAAUCUUUGCUUGAGAGCGGUGGUUGAGGAUUGAGUCACCUACCCAAGUCAAAUUUUUGUAACAAUUAGAUGUUCAUCUUUAGAGUACUACAAGGAAAAUUGAUGUGAGGAUAAAGACCAGUUAACGAAGCUUGACUGACGUCAAAAUUUUAUUUUAUUUCCUUUUCUCUAAUCCUACCUUGUAGCGGUCCAAAUUAAUUGUCUUGACAAGGAAAUAUAACACAUAGCCAAGGAGGAUUUGCCUAAAAGCCAUCAUCCUGUUUGAAAACUACCUCCCUUAUUGUGCACAUGACACUUUUUCUAAGGGGAAUAAUCCAACCAUACAUUGGACCAAUAAAAUAAGUAUUUUUGGGAUUUUAUUUUUACCUUCACAAAUUGAGUGCGUAAAGUGCGGGGGAAAAAAACUCAUUCAUGCAUUUCAAUAACACUUGUGAAUUUAUUCCAAAAUUACAUUCAAAGUACACCUAUCAUUUUUUUUUACAUCAACUCUCUCACACCUCCAUUUCACCCGCCAUGUUCAUACGGUUUUUUUAUCUCUCACCAACAUAUUCAUAGUCUCAUGUAUUUUCUUAUAAAACAUCUUUAAUUUCAAUUUUUUUUUCACUCUCUAAUCUCUCCAUAUUUAUUGAUUUUAAUCAUUUUUUAGACACAUUAAACUUAAAAUGAUAAUAUAUAAUAAAUAAUUAAUAAUAAAAAAUUAAAUAAAAACAUAAUAUUUAAUGAACAAAAAUUAAAAUAUUAUCUCACAAAUAAUAUACUUGAUAAUUUUAAAUAUUAAUUAUAAUAAUGUUUAAGAUUUAAAUUUAAAAAUUAUGUUUUUAUUAUUUAGAGGCUUAUGAUAUAAUUUUUUUUAUAUUAAUACUAAAUAAAAGAUUUAUUGAUUUUGUAAAUCUUAUCAUACGUAAAAGUAAAAAAUAUCUUUGUAAUAUUAUUUUAUUAUUUUUAUUUUGAUAUAAAAUUUUUCAUUUGUAAUAUUAUUUUAUUAUUUUUAUUUUGAUAUAAAAUUUUUCAUAUCAAAAUCACAAUAAGUGAUAGUAGUUUUUUUUUUGUUAUGGUUUUAAUUGUGGUUUUAACUUUUUACUUGGUUAAAUUUUUUAAUUUUUUAUCAAGAUAAAAUAUAAAAGAAAAUAUGUUUUUUCAUAAAAAAAAAAUACAUUGUUUUAGGGAAAUUGAGAUACUUAUCUCUUUUAUCAUGAUGCAUAUACUCCUUUUGGAAUUCUCGGGAAGUGUUUUUAAAUUCUCUCCCACCUCGAAAAAGACUUUGAAACUUCAAGUAAGAAAAAUAAAUACAUCCUUUAAGAAAAAUGGAUUUUCUUUGAAUUGGUUGCCUCACAAUAUUUUAAAUGAUAAAGACUAAAAUUCAAUUAUGAUAUUAUCGAAAAUAGUCCCAAUCUAACGACUAGUCAAGAUAUUUGAAGUGGCCAAUCGUAUUGGAAGAAUUCCAGGAAGGUGCUCAACAGGGUUGUCUCAUUCAAAUAAGGAAAUUUGAAAUAAAUUUUCUCAAUACCAUGCACCCACGUUUUCUAGAUACAUUCCUACUGUUCUCAGAAUUGAGUGCUCAUGAAUUUACAUAGAAGUUAGGCAGAUUUCUGGAAAUAAUAAAAAUGAUAAUCACGUAGAACCUUGUCUCUGUAAAUUAUUUUAAAUAAAAAAUACUUAUUUUUCUAAAAAUAAGUAUUUUCAAAAUGUAAUAUAUGUUUUUUUUUUUUUUAAAUAAUAAUAAUUUACAAGCUUUUUUAUUUUUAUUUCUUAAAAAAAUUAUGGGCUUUUGUUGAUAAGAUUUGAGGAAAAACAAAAAGGGCCACACUACAUUGACUCUUCCAUGCCUACAGGCCACAACGAAGUCGACCACAAAGAUGACGCCAUCUUUUGGAAUUUUUACAGGACGGUUUUUCCACAUACACACCAACCCAAGCCCACCUUCACCCUAUAUAAACCCCCACCCAUUUCCUCACAGAUCACCCCACUCCAACCAUCAAGCCUAUCUUCCGAUCCUCAACAAUGGGCCUCUGCAAAAUCCUCUCCAUUUCCUCAUUCCUUCUCACCGCCCUAUUCUUCACCCCCAGCUAUGCAGCCACCUUCAACAUCCAAAACCAUUGCUCCUACACGGUUUGGGCUGCGGCAGUCCCAGGCGGGGGCAUGCAGCUUGGCUCAGGCCAAUCCUGGAGCCUCAAUGUGAAUGCCGGCACCACUGGAGGCCGUGUUUGGGCCCGUACCAACUGCAACUUCGAUGCAUCAGGGAAUGGGAAGUGUGAGACCGGGGACUGUGGUGGCCUCCUCCAAUGCACGGCCUAUGGUACACCCCCUAACACCUUAGCCGAAUUCGCACUUAACCAAUUCAGCAACUUGGACUUCUUUGAUAUAUCUUUGGUUGAUGGAUUUAAUGUGCCUAUGGCCUUUAAUCCUACUUCCAAUGGGUGCACCCGUGGCAUCAGUUGCACCGCCGACAUCGUGGGAGAGUGCCCCGCUGCGCUAAAGACUACCGGUGGUUGCAACAACCCAUGCACCGUUUUCAAGACCGAUGAAUAUUGUUGCAAUUCUGGGAGCUGUAGUGCUACAGAUUACUCAAGGUUUUUCAAGACUAGGUGCCCUGAUGCUUAUAGCUACCCUAAGGACGAUCAGACAAGCACCUUCACAUGCACUGCCGGUACCAAUUAUGAAGUUGUCUUCUGCCCAUAAAUCUAUUAUUUAAAUCAUAUGCUAGUAUGCCUCUACUAGUCUCAACUAUUAGGAGGCAAUGGUUUCCACCUUGGGUUCCAAAAGCCUAGAGGAAUAAAGUUGGGCACAUUUUCGUGGUCAUGUAACAAGAUUUCUACACUAGUAGAAGUAAUGGAUGUUUUUUUUUUUUAUAUAUAUAUAUAUAUAUAUAGAUUUAUGCGAUCUUCUUUCUUUCUAACCUCUAUGGUCCCGUCCAAGUAAUAUUUCAUAUAUAUUUUAUUCUAUAUAAUAUCUGCGGAUAAGAUCGGUUAAUGAAGCUUGACUAAAGUCAAAAUUUUAUUUUAUUUCAUUAUCCUACUUGGAAACUACCUUCCUUACUGGGUACAUGGCAUUUUUUUUUUAAUAAUAUUUGACUCAGGUUUCCGAGAAAACAUUGUAGCAGUCCAAACACGGCGUAAAUUGGGACUUUUCUCAAUAGUAGAGUAAUUUAAAAAAGUUAUUCUUCAAUUACUGUAGUGGAAGAAGUUAUUACAAAUAUAGGGUAGUUUUUGCCAGAUAGGAGAGAGGAGAGAGGAGAGAGGGUGAGAGAGAGGAGAGAGGAAAGAGGAGAUAGGAGAGAGGAGAGAGGAGAGAGGGUGAACGGGUAAAAUUUUUUAAAAAAGGGAACUCGUCUCUUGAAGAGACGAGUUCCAUGAAAAAAAAUAUAUAUAUAAUUUUUAAAAAAUUCUCAAAUUAAAAAAAAAAAAAUUGGAACUAAAGGCUUGACACGAGUUCCCAUGGGAAAAAUAUAUAUUAUUUAUUUAAAAUAUAUUUUUCAUUUAAAAAAAAUCCCAAAAAAAAUAAAAAAUAAAAUUUCUAAAAGGAACUCGUCUCUUUUUUAAAAAAAAUAUAUUUUUUAUUUUAAAAUCCCAAAUUUAAAAAAAAAAAACGCAAUUCCAAAAGGAACUCGUCUCUUUAAAAAUAUAUAUAUUUAAAAAAAAAAAUUCCUAAAGGGAACUCGUCUCUUGAAGAGACGAGUUCCCUUUAGGAAAAAAAAUAUUUUGUUUUUAAAAUAUAUUUUUUAUUUUAAAAAAUCCCAAAUAAAAAAAAAUAAAAAAUAAAAAACAAUUCCAAAGGGAACUCGUCUCUUCAAGAGACGAGUUCCCAUGUAAAAAAAAAUAUUUUUUUAAAAAAUAUAUAUAUUUAAAAAAAAAAAUUCAGAGUUACUUUAGGAAAAAAAAUAUUUUUUUUUUAAAAUAUAUUUUUUAUUUUAAAAAAUCCCAAAUUUAAAAAAAAAAAAACACAAUUCCAAAGGGAACUCGUCUCUUCAAGAGACGAGUUCCCAUGUAAAAAAAAUAUUUUUUUUAAAUAUAUAUAUUAAAAAAAAAAAAACAAUUCCUCAAAAUUCCUAAAGGAACUCGUCUNNNNNNNNNNNNNNNNNNNNNNNNNNNNNNNNNNNNNNNNNNNNNNNNNNNNNNNNNNNNNNNNNNNNNNNNNNNNNNNNNNNNNNNNNNNNNNNNNNNNAAAGGAACUCGUCUUUUGGAAGAGAACGAGUUCCCAUGUAAAAAAAAAAAAAAAUUUUAAAAAAAAUAUAUAUUUAAAAAAAUAAAAAUUCAGGGUUCCCUUUAGGAAAAAAAAUAAUUUUUUUUUAAAAAAAAUAUUUUUUUUUUUAAAAAAUCCCCAAUUAAAAAAAAAAAAAAAAAAAAAAAACCCAAUUCCAAAGGGAACUCGUCUCUUCAAGAGACGAGUUCCCUUGUAAAAAAAAUUAUUAUUUUUAAAUAUAUAUAUAUUAAAAAAAAAAAAAAAAAAAAACAAUUCCUCAAAAUUCCUAAAGGAACUCGUCUCUUCAAGAGACGAGUUCCCAUAUAAAAAAAAAAAUUAAAAAAAAAUAUAUAUUUAAAAAAAUAAAAAUUCAGAGUUCCCUUAGGAAAAAUAAUAAUUUUUUAAAAAAAUAUAUUUUUUAUUUUAAAAAAUCCCAAAUUAAAAAAAAAAAAAAAAAAAAAAAACACAAUUCCAAAGGGAACUCGUCUCUUAUUUUUUUUUUUUCCAUAGGAACUCGUCUCUUCAAUAGACGAGUUCCCUUGAUGAAUUGUUUUUUUUUUUUUUUUUUUUAAAUAUAUUUUUUUAAAAAAAAUUUGUUUUUACGUGGGAACUCAUCUUAAAGAGACGAGUUCCCUUGAGGAAUUGUUUUUUUAUUUUAUUUUAUAUUUUAUUUUAAUAUAUAUAUUUUAAAAUAAAAAAUAUUUUUAAGAGACGAGUUCCUUUGGAAUUGUGUUUUUUUUUUUUUUUUUUAAUUUGGGAUUUUUUAAAUUUUUUAAAAAAAUAAUUUUUUUUCCUAAAGGGAAUUCUGAAUUUUUAAUUUUUUAAAUAUAUAUAUUUAAAAAUUUUUUUUUUUUUAAAAAACAAAAAUUUUUUUUAAAAAAUAUAUAUAUUUAAAAAAAAAUUAUAUUUUUUNNNNNNNNNNNNNNNNNNNNNNNNNNNNNNNNNNNNNNNNNNNNNNNNNNNNNNNNNNNNNNNNNNNNNNNNNNNNNNNNNNNNNNNCGUCUCUUCAAGAGACGAGUUCCCUUUGGAAUUGUGUUUUUUUUUUUUUUUUUUCUUUUUUUUAAUUUGGGAUUUUUUAAAAUAAAAAAUAUUUUUUUUUUCCUAAAGGGAACUCUGAAUUUUUUUUUUAAAUAUAUAUAUAUUUUUUAAAAAAAUAUUUUUAAAAAAAAAAUAUUUUUUUUUGUUUUUUUUUUUUUAAUUUGGGAUUUUUUAAAAUAAAAAAUAUAUUUUAAAAAAAAAAUAUUUUUUUUCCUAAAGGGAACUCGUCUCUUCAAAAAACAAGUUACCUUUAGGAAUUUUUUUUUUAAAUAUAUAUAUUUUAAAAAAAAAAUAUUUUUUUUACAUGGGAACUCGUCUCUUCAAAAGACGAGUUCCUUUUGGAAUUGUGUUUUUUUUUUUUUUUUUUUUAAUUUAGGAUUUUUUAAAAUAAAAAAUAUAUUUUUAAAAAAAAUUAUUUUUUUUCCCAAGGAACUCGUCUCUUGAAGAGACGAGUUCCCUUUAGAAAUUUUUUUUUUUUUUUUUUGGAUUUUUUUAAAUAAAAAAUAUAUUUUAAAUAAAUAAUAUAUUUUUUUUCCCAGGGAACUCGUCUGAAGCCUUUAGUUCCAAAUUUUUUUUUUUAAUUUGAGAAUUUUUUAAAAAUUAUAUAUAUAUAUUUUUUCAUGGAACUCGUCUCUUCAAGAGACGAGUUCCCUUUUUUAAAAAAUUUUACCCGUUCAUCCUCUCUCCUCUCUCCUAUCUCCUCUUUCCUCUCUCCUCUCUCCUCUCUCUCACCCUCUCUCCUCUCUCCUCUCUCCUCUCUCCUAUGUGGCAAAAACUACCCUAUAUUUGUAAUAACUUCUUCCACUACAGUAAUUGAAGAAUAACUUUUUUAAAUUACUCUACUAUUGAGAAAAGUCCGCGUAAAUUGUCAUAGCCCUUUAUUGCAGAGAAUAGUGGAAAAGAAAGUUGUUAAAAGUGGCAUAAGUAAUUCAAACCAUAACCCUAUAUUGAGGAGAGUUAUGACUUAUGACACAUAAAUAUUGAAGUUCCACUUGUCUAUCAAUUAAAUAAAUAUAUGUUUUAAUUUAUUUUUGUAAAAAAAAUCAAUAAGAUUUUUAAUAUUUAUUUUACUAAUUUUAUUUAAAGAACUUAUGAUUUAAAAACGAGUUUAAUAUGAUUUAGAUAAGAAAUAUUUUAAUAUUUAAUAUAAAUUUUAUAAUACUAAUAUUACCUAUUAAAAAUUAAGAUUUUGGUUGCACCAUCAACAUUUAGUUAAAUCUAAAAAUAAAAAACUAUUUCAAACAAAGCUUUAUUUAUUCAUCUAUCAUGCUAAUGGAGCCUCAGAAGUUAAAAAGAUUAACUGGGCCAUGGUUAUAGAAGCCCAAAAGAUUUAUUGAUGGGGCGGAGCAGGUGGGCCUGGCCUGCCAUGUGCAGCUGUAUUUUUUUGACUUGUCUUCAAGACAACAAGUCAACGCCUCCGUUCAAUGAAGCGGAUGUAUCGGAAAAACCCAAAAGCUUCAUUUUCCCCUCAAAACGCGUAAACCCCAAAAUGAGCUUCUUCUGCAACUGCAGCAACCUCUCUACUUCCUUCUGCCUCCUCAUCCUCCCGUUCUUCUUCACCUUCAUCCAUGCAACCACUUUCGAAAUCCAAAACAGCUGCCCCUACACCAUCUGGGCAGCCGCCGUACCCGGCGGCGGAAGGCAACUCGACCAAGGCCAGACCUGGAACCUUUCAGUGAGCUCCAACAUAACGGGCCGCAUCUGGGGCAGAACCAAGUGCAGCUUCGAUGAAGCCGGAAGGGGGAGCUGCGAGUCCGGUGGAUGUGGAGGCCUCCUUGAAUGCCAAGAAUAUGGUUCACCGCCCAACACCAUUGCCGAGUACACCCUAAACCAAUCCAACAAAACUGAUUUAUUCGAUGUUUCUCUGGUGGAUGGAUUCAACCUUCCAAUGGAGUUUAGCCCAACUUCUGAUGGGUGCAGAGGGGCCAAUUGUACAGGCGACAUUAACGGGCCGUGCCCAAAUGAGUUGAGGGACCCGGGUGGGUGUAACAACCCAUGUACCGUUUUCAAAAAUUCUCAGUACUGUUGCGAUUCCGGGAGCUGUGGCCCUACAACUUACUCCGAGUUUUUCAAGGAUAGGUGCCCAAAUGCAUACAGUUACCCUGAGGAUGAUUCAACCAGUUUGUUUACGUGCUCCACUGGCUCUAACUAUCGUGUAGUCUUCUGCCCUUGAAUUAUGGGUUGCUAUUAAUUGUUUGAAGUAUUUUCUGAAUUGCCGUGUAAUUUUAUGCUAUGAGGGUAUUUCUUCCUAAGUUUUGUUGGAUGAUCCGUUGAAAUAAAUACUCGAUAACUUCUGUAUUAUUUUAAAAAGUAAUGUAUCAAUAUGCCCAUUUUUAAAAGCUAUAGUGUUAUAAAUUUCAAACUCUUUAAAAUUUUGAGAGAUGAUACUAAGAACUAGCAUACUUUUGUAAAAGAAGUCAUAAAAGGAGAGUCAUCUAAAAAUUUUAAACUUUUAAAAUUUUUCACUAAAACCAAUGUCUCUCUCCGCUUGUUGACUCGUCUGGAAGUCAAGUCCAACGACCCCAUAGCCGUCAACCGAAACCGUUCAUGAAAAAUCUGAUCACCUUCCUCGCCAAAAUGCCAAAAUCCCAAGAUGACUUUCUUCAGCAGCUGCAACAACCUCUCCACUUCCUUCUUCCUCCUCAUCACCACUCUCUUCUUCACCUUCCUCCACGCUUCCGCGCUUCCACCUUCCACAUCCAAAACAACUGCCACUUCACCCUGUGGGCCGCGCACGGCCGUUCCCCGCGGCGGAACGCAACUCUGAUGGGUGGGCCAAAAAAUUCCCAAAUUAUUGGGAGUGGGCCUUUAUAAGUCCCAAAUUGCUAGGGGUGGGCCAAUGGGUAGUGAUGAUGUCAUAGUGCUCUAGCCCAAUUUUUUUUUAAAAUAAACAAAUAAAGGAUUGUAAUCAGUUUAAAAUGUUGAUAUACGGACAAAAAUUGAACAUUCAGACUAAUAAAAGUUAAUAAAUCCCAUACCAAUUGUUACUAAAUUUAAAAUCUAUUUAUCUAAUGAAAAAAUUUAGAGAAGUUAAAAAACUUUAACAAAAAUAGGUAUAAUUCCAAUAGAGAUUAUAUUUGACAAUUUUUCAUACUAGUUCAUGGACAGAUAAUGAAAGAAAAGUUGAAUCAUAUUUUGUUUAAUUUACUCUUCUUUUUUUUUAAUAUUUUUAAAAUUAUAUAUAUUUUUCAUUUCUCCGUAUUUUCCCUUUUUUCUCUAAAAAAAUAUGUGAAUAUAACUUUGUUCAUUUACAAUUAAUAAUGUCUUUUUCCGCUAGUUUUCUCCAAGUGAACGAUAAAUGUACUUGCAACAAAGUGUGUUCAAAUUAUUUUUUCGGGUAUUUUUUUUGAAGCUUAAGUUCAUUUUUAGAAGAAAUAGAUAAUAGUUUUAUUAUAAUAGAGUUGUAAUGUUUUAUGUAUUUUUUUAAUACUUUAAACGUCUGUAAUUGACCUUGAAAAUAACAGUUUUUGAGCUUAUAGUAAGACGUUUAUACUUGUGGAGGCAUCCGAUCUAAUGAUUUGAAAUAUUUAUUAUUUGCGCAGUGAAUAAAGACGUUGAUAGGAUAUCCUUUUAUCAUUUUAAUAUUUCGACGGAGAGAGGCUUUUAUCCAGAUGGAUGUAGGACCCACAGACUUCUCAUUAAUUUUUGAUAAUUAUUUUAUAUUUUAUUUUAUUUUUAAAAAAUUGUUUUCAAAUGACAUCGUCAAAUAGGCUGUUCGUAAUCAUCACUUCCAAUGCAACAUCUUUCGUUGAAUGGAAACUCAGAAAAUCUAAAGUAUCAUCGUAAAAUUCAUGAGGAAUAUGCCAGAAGAUGACCGUUUCAAACCUUUUAUAAUAUUAUUAUAUUUUCUGUAUUUUCUUUCCGCAAAUUUUCCUGAACUAAACACGAGUGAUAAACUACACCUUGAUUUGCGGGGAAAAUCCAUUGGCUAGAGAUUGACUGAAAGCCAAAACUUAGGCUUCGUUGCAAGACAUUUUGGCAGCCAACGACUCAGGCAAACACCGUAAAAGUCUAAAGAGACGCUGUCCGCCCAAACAAUCCACAAAUCUCUUAUCUUUUUAUCAUCUAAUACUCGGAUUCUAGAAAAGUCUACUGUAUCUCUUAGGUUAUAUUUAGUUUCGAAAAAUACAAAAGAAAGAAAAAAAAUAUUAAAAAAAAUAAUUUUUUCAUAUUCGAUUGUCUUAUAAAUUAUUUUAAAAAAAAUUAAAUAUGAUUAAAAUUAAUUAAAAAUUUAUGGAUUUUAAAAUUAUUUAAUCUUUAUAUUGAUGAGUUAAAAUAAAUAAAAAUAAUUUUUCAUCUUUUAACUCUAUUUUUUAUUUUUCUUCAUUUUUUUCUUUUAUUUUUUUUCUUUUUUUUCUUUUUCUUUUUUAUAUAUAUUUUCCCUUAAAUUUUAUGAGAACCACAUAUAAUCUUAAAAUUUUAAUAAUUUUAAUUUAUCAUUCUAAUCAUUCUAGAAAAUUUCAUCAUUAAAAAAUGUAAGAAAAAAAAAUUAGGGUGAAUAAAUUAUUUUUAUAUAUUAUUUUAAACUUAUUUUAUUUAUUUUAAAUUUUAAUAUAAAAAUUGUAUGAGCUUGUAAUUAAAUUUAUUUUAUUAAUUUUUUUUUAUAAUAUAGUCAAACAUAUAUAAAAAAAAAUCAAUUUUAUUAACAAUUUUUUUCUUUUCUUCAUUGAUUUGCUCCUGACGCCAUUUCAUCUAGAAUGGCAUAGAUAAUUUAAAGCAACAGUCAAAGGUCAUCCAAAAAAUUGAACAUGAUAGGUUGUUCAAAUGCAAGUUUACCGGUUCCCCGGAUUCUUCUAAGUUCUGGCAGCUUGACUUCACUUCCGCAUUCUGCAUUGGAGAUGUCACAGAUGUAUGGCCAUGAUUAAUGCCGUUCUCUUCAGUCAUUCCUAUGUGUGUGGACGCGUGAUGAAUUGGAAUCUAAGCAGGAAAGAUGCACGCUCCAUUCAAGUCACGUUUUCUCGUGGGAGGAUUGUCUUGAUUUUAUUAUGCGUGUAUUCUCCUGACUCUACCAUGGCCACUUGGCUUGCCAAGUCUAGAGUAAAGCCAUGAGUGGACAAUUCCAUUUCUUUCUUCAUCUUUUUCCACGGAAUCAAGUCCAACAAAAUGCUGAAAUUUCUAUUCGAAUUAACCCACUUCUCACGUAAUCUCCCAAACCAUUGCCACCAUUCAUCUAUAAAAACCCUACCAUACAUGCAUCUCCAAAACAUCAAUUAACCCAAACCCAUGUUAGUGCUCUGUCUUGGCUUGCCCUGUUUAAGAACAUUCUCUUUUAUAUAUAUUGUUAUACAACUUUCUACGUGAUAUGUUCUCAUUGGUUUAAUGUAUUACUAAAAAAUGUUCUUCAGGAUUUUGGAUGAGGUUGUGUUUGCAUUAACAUGAUCACUUUCAAAUUAUUUUUUGUAGGCAUGGUUCGUGCAGCUAUCAAGUACAAAUAGUUUGUGUAACUGGAUGUUGAUCGUCAUCUUCAUUGUGGUUACUUUUAAUAUCACUUUGUCUAAAUUAUUCUAAGACUAAACAUGAAAGUUCAAUAUCAUUUUGUUUAAAAUAGUAUAAGAAGGAACAUUGAAUAUGCAAAACAUUCAUACGAAGGACAAUCCGAUAGAUGCCUUAAUAAAAUCAAUUAACACUGAUAAAUUCAAUUAGUGCAAAUCCUCUUUUGAUUUCACAAUAACAUAAGCAACAUAUGAUAGGGUAAAACUUAGAAAUAUGAUUUCAAGUGAAAUAAUAUUAACGUUAAAGUCAUCUCACAUAAGAAAAAAAAAGAAAAAAAAAAGAGCUUCUUUAUGCUAUCUGAGGGGCAUCCAUCCUUGAUAUUCUUCAUCCUAAAAAAAACUUUUAUUUUUUUGCAAGUUUUUAUGUUAUCUCCUCUAAAUCGUAAAAAGAGAGGUUACAAUUUUGUAUUUAUAUGAUGAAUAUUUUUUAGUUUUGUUCUUUGGGUUUCCUUCAUAAUUAAAAGGGUUUAAUAUGUAAGUAUUUUUAAUUAUUUUAUUUAUUCUAUUACAUUAUUAUUUUAUUAUUCUAUUUUUAAAUUAUGGGAGCAUCAUUUCAAAACACUACCUUUAAAAAAAUAAAUAAAAAUAUAGUUUUUUAUAUUUGAGAUUUUAAACAAAAUUUUAUUUAUAAAAAUAAUUAAAAUUACGUUUUGCCUAACAUGCGUACGUUGUAGUCAUCCGCGGAGUUGGUUCGAGAGGACAUUGGAAAAUCACACAAAGUGAUCAUGUGCCUUUAAUUGGAAAAUAAACAGUGGAUUUUCUCUUCUCUAGAAUUGGUUGCUUCUCAGAUAAAGGUCAAAAUUCAAUUAUGAUAUUAUGGAAAAUAGUCCCAGUCGAACCAAUUUUCAAGGCAUUUGAAGUGGCCAUUCAUUCAAGAAAGGAAGUUUGAAAUAAAUUUUUCCAACGCAACGCGGCACGCACCCGGCCAUGUUUUCAAGAUGCCUUCCUACCUGUCCUCAGAAUUCAGUAUUCAUGAAUUUCCAUAAAAGUUAGACAGGUUUCUGAAAAUAAUAAAAAUGAUAAUGAUGUGGACCCCUUGAAAUAAAUUCAGUAUUCAUGAAUGGGCAAUUCUGGUUCUUUCAUCAUCUUUUUAUCUGUAAUCAAUCAUCCAAUCAAGUCCAACAAAAUGCUGAAAUUUCCAUUCGAAUUAACCCACUUCUCACGUAAUCUCCCAAACCAUAGCCACCCUUCAUCUAUAAAAACCCCACCAUACAUCCAUCUCCAAGACACCGCAUUAGCCCAAACCCAUAAGAAUUCUAAAUACUUCGAUUCUGAUCAUCUGAUUCAUUCAACAUCAAAAUGCGCUUCACCACCACCCUCCCAAUUCUCUUCCCUCUCCUCCUCAGCCUCCUCUUUACCUCCACCCAUGCAGCCACCUUCGACAUCCUCAACAAAUGCACCUACACCGUCUGGGCAGCCGCCUCCCCCGGUGGUGGACGGAGACUUGACUCCGGCCAGUCCUGGACAAUCACCGUCAACCCCGGCACCACCAAUGCUCGCAUCUGGGGCCGAACCUCAUGCACCUUCGACGCCAAUGGGCGUGGCAAAUGCGAAACUGGUGACUGCAAUGGCCUCCUCGAAUGCCAGGGCUACGGUUCUCCCCCAAACACCCUCGCUGAAUUCGCUCUAAACCAGCCCAAUAACCUCGACUACAUCGACAUCUCCCUUGUCGAUGGCUUCAACAUCCCCAUGGACUUCAGCGGCUGCCGCGGCAUCCAGUGCUCCGUUGACAUCAAUGGGCAAUGCCCCAGUGAGUUGAAGGCCCCCGGUGGAUGCAACAACCCGUGUACAGUGUUCAAGACCAAUGAGUAUUGUUGCACUGAUGGACCUGGAAGCUGUGGUCCGACCACAUACUCCAAAUUCUUCAAGGACAGGUGCCCAGAUGCUUAUAGCUACCCUCAGGAUGACAAAACCAGCUUGUUCACCUGUCCUUCUGGUACCAACUACAAGGUCACGUUUUGCCCUUGAAAGUUGGAACUCAUUUUCCUUCACUUUCUUGGUGAAUGAAAAGAGUACAAGACACCCAGGAAAGUUUUAGUUUUCAGCGUAGAGAAGAAUAAAUUUGUGCACGUAAUGAUAGUAUUGUGCGCAUGUGAUGUGAUAAUCAGUCUGUAAUGUGAUUCCAGUGAAAAAUAAAUGAAGAAGCCUACUUACUCAUUUUCACCUUGGAUGAAACUUGUCAACCUAUUUAACUUCUUUAACAAAAACAUAGUUUUUGGGUUCAACCUCCAUAAUACAAAACCCUUCAUUAUUUUUUGGCCUCAUUCAUUUAUUUAUUUAUUUAUAAAAAUAACUCUUUCUUUUAAAACACACAUAUAAAUACUUGAAAUAGUUAAGGACAUUUAUGUUAAAAAUUGAUUACUCUUCAAACAAAAACAUGGAAGAGGUUAAAUUCAUAAAUAUGAAGACUAUUUCAUCCCUUUUAACUAAUUAAUUCUUAAAUGAAUUACAUAAUAUAUUACUUGUUUAAUAAUUUGAUAAUAUUUGAAUUUAUAUUUUUAAUACGAUUAUUAUUUGUAUCAGAUUUAGAUUAACUUAUAUAAUAGAAAGCUUAGGCUUUAACACUAUACUAAUAUAACCAUCUUACACAAAUUGCCACCCCAUUUGUUGUUGGGACUGGUUGGAGGAACACACCUAACCCAGCCCACCAAAUUUGCAACUGGAUGGCUUGAAAUUUAGGCCCAUGAUGUCGGCCCAAUUUAUAUUAAUGAGCCCAAACCCAUCAGCAUACACUUUAUGAAGGACAUGAAAUCCAAAUAGGCUGAUAUGAAACGAACCCCUAUAAAGAAAAAGCCAGCAAAUCCCAAACUGAAAUUCAGAAUUGAAUAUGUGAGAAUCUUUCAAUUUCCAACAACACCCGACAGCGGCCCAUACUGAUAUAGGCUGUCUUCAAGCAGAAUAUUUUUUUUUUUACUACUAGAUCUGAAACAAGUAGUGGAAGCCCGAACAGGCCCAAUAGAUUCCUUCGACACCCGACAAUAAUCUACGAAUCAAACAGGUUUCUAAUUUGAGUACAGAUCUAAUAAACUAAUUAAUAAUUCUUUUUUCUUUUCUGUAAAAUAAAAAAGGACUUUUGAGCUUGAAUUUUUUUUCAGAUUAAAUCUAAGCGGUCAAUAAUAUUUCAAAGAAAUGUUUUUUUUAAUAAUAAAGAUUAAUUUACUAGUUUAGGGAUAGUAAAUAAACUAUAUUUAUUGAAGCCCGAUCCAAGCUUCAGUGACAAGGGUGAUAAAACAAUACUUUUAUAAAUCUAGAGAGUAAUCAUGAAUACCUCUAAAAUCAUAAUAAAAUCAAUUUAAAAUUAUUAUUUAGAUUUUAUAUUUUAAAAAAGAGUUAAAUUUCUUAUAAAUUAAUAAAGCUUAGUUUCAAGGACAAGUGUUAGGAGACCAUGUGUGAUAAAAAUAAAAAUAAAAACCCCAAAUGGGAAUAAGAUUUUUAAUAUUUUUUAAAUGUUCUCAUAAAAUUAUUAUGAAAAUCGUAAUUAUUGGAUCUUUGAUAGUCGUAUUUGAGAGGCUAAAUUAAAUCUUUUAUAAUAUUCAAUUAUUAUUGUUUGAAUGAUUUAUCCAUUUUAUUUAAAAGUAGUAUAUUGUUACACCCUAAUAAUAAUUAUAAAAAUUAUUUAAUAUUUUUAAUAAUUAAGAAAUUAUUUUCAAUUUUAUAAUAAUUUGUGAAGUUUUAAUUGAAAAAAAACAUUUUUAAUUAGAUUUAUCCGAUUUGAAAGUAAAUUUUAAGAGAAUUUCUAAAUUUUGUAUUUGAAUCGGAAGUUAUUAAACUUCUCACCAAUUAACAUAAAUUUAAAAGUAAUUUUUUAACUAUCAUGUUUUAUAAAUCUUUGUGUAAAAGUUUUCCAAUCAAACUUUUUGACUUUAGACCUGCGUGGGAUUGAAAGAUGUCCCACACACACCACGCGGCAUCAAACUCCUUGAUAUUAAUCUUGAUCUUAUCCUCGCCAAAUAGGAGGCCAUGAUUCCAUAUUUCCAUUACACUCUGUCACGGACCACGGCCACCUUCCCAAAUCCCCAGAUCAACAAAAACCAGCACUCCAUGCCUCGGUACCUGGGCACAAAAAGUCAAAGUAGCCGCCUCCAUAAAAUAAGUGGGACACUGAUCGACACAUGGCAUCCUGGCCUGGACUGCAGAGCAGAGGAUCAUCCCCAAACUUUUAUCCUCACGAGGAGCCGCCUGUACUUUAAUGAGAAAAGUAGAGACGUGCCUUUAUUUGCACCAAGCCAAAACGCAGCGUUUCCUCUAUAUAAACCCCCUGGUGUCAUUGAUGAGGCACAAGCCAAAAUACACCACACCUGACAUCUAUACUCCGAUUGUCAGCUCCAAGCUUCCCAGUAUGAGCGACUUGCGCAUCCUCUUUAUCUUCUUCCUCUGCUUCAUCUCCUCCAUCCAUGCAGCCACCUUCCAAAUCACCAACCAGUGUUCUUACACCGUCUGGGCAGCUGCCUCUCCCGGUGGCGGCCGCCGCCUGGACCGCGGCCAAAGCUGGACCCUCAACGUGCCCGCUGGCACCAAAAUGGCCCGAAUCUGGGGUCGAACCAACUGCCACUUCGAUGCCAGUGGUCGUGGCCGGUGCGAUACCGGUGACUGUGGCGGCGUCCUGAACUGUCAAGGCUGGGGUUCUCCACCAAACACACUAGCAGAAUACGCCUUGAACCAGUUUGGUAACAAGGAUUUUUUCGAUAUAUCUCUCGUUGAUGGGUUCAACAUCCCUAUGGACUUCAGCCCCACCAGCCGCGGGUGCCGUGGAAUCAAGUGCACGGCGAAUAUCAACGGGCAAUGCCCGCAGGCGUUGAAAGCUCCGGGAGGGUGCAAUAACCCGUGUACCGUGUUCAAGACUCCGCAGUACUGCUGCAACAAUAUUAAAUGUGGACCGACAGAUUAUUCGAGAUUUUUCAAGACCAGGUGCCCAGAUGCGUACAGUUAUCCUCAGGAUGAUCCCACAAGCACAUUUACAUGCCCUGGUGGAACCAACUAUAGGGUUGUGUUCUGCCCUAGAGGCUCUUCCAACAAUAUUUUUCCUCUGGAGAUGUAUGGAAGUGAUAGUGAGGAGUAAAGGGUCUUCAAAAUCCGAGUGAAAUAAGGCAUGUAUGUGAGCC